This 413-nucleotide long non-coding RNA is filed under the name Taeniopygia guttata (zebra finch). RNAcentral's name for it is "lncRNA (ENSTGUG00000029293.1)". Lineage: Eukaryota; Metazoa; Chordata; Aves; Passeriformes; Estrildidae. The record is from RNAcentral.
GCCAGAGCAGGUGUGCCAAGCUACCAUGGAUUGUGCCUGUACUGUUGGUGCCCAGGAUGGGAUGGCUGUGGAGGCAGAGCUGGCUGAGCCCAUUAGCAAAUCUGCUUUCCCUGGUAGGAUCCUUUGUGCCUGGAGGUGCCUCCCAGACUGCUCUCCCGGGGACCUGCAGAGGCAACCUGCCCUUCGGUGUCUGCUGGAGGAACAAGGGGAGAGAGGGAAGAAGAGAUCACACCAUCUGUUGGAUCCAUAUAUUACAACAUUUGGUUGAUGGGCACCUCUUGAAAAAUAAUGAGGAUAUUCAGUUGCCCACUUGGUGCAGUGUGGAGGAGGAUCUGCACUGGCAGGGAUCACCAGGAUGGCUGCAGCUCAGGAGGAACCACAGGGCUUCAAGGCACCACAGAAAAAGAUCCAGG